UGAGUGGGUGGGACUGGCCU
Molecule: microRNA, 20 nt
Filed under: Mus musculus (house mouse)
Lineage: Eukaryota; Metazoa; Chordata; Mammalia; Rodentia; Muridae
Description: mmu-miR-6956-5p
Source: miRBase by way of RNAcentral